Molecule: long non-coding RNA, 1165 nt
Filed under: Elaeis guineensis (African oil palm)
Lineage: Eukaryota; Viridiplantae; Streptophyta; Magnoliopsida; Arecales; Arecaceae
Description: long non-coding RNA (EGUI_LNC034465)
Source: RNAcentral
CCUUCAUUUUUUUUUCAUCUGAACUAGAAAUAUCGCUAUCUCCCCAAAUACCCAUUAUUGCAUUCUUUUUGCUUUUGGGGUUCCUUUUAAGUGUGAAGCAGUCUGACUUAUAGUGCCUCGACUUGUUGCACUUAUAGCAUAUGAUAUUUCUUUUUAUAUCAUCUCUUUCUCCCUUUUUUCUUCAACCAUUUCUUUUUGAAGAAUCUUUUGAAUUUUCUAAUGAGUAGCCCCAUGUCCUCAUCUUCACUUUCAUUUUCCUCUUCAUCUUAAUCCUUCAACUCAUCACUUUCUUCUGAUUUGGCAGUUGAUUUGAAGGCAAUGGUCAUAUUCUUCUUUGAUUCUUCUCCUUUCUUAUUUUGGCACAUGUUCAGCUUAUGUGUCCUAAGUGGACCAAUUAAUUCUUUCAUAAACAACUUGCUAUGACCUCUCGCUUCUUGUAUCACUAUUACUUUGACUUUUCAUGCCUUUGACAAAUACCUAAGAACCUUGCAAACAAGCUCAUUGUUAGUAAAUAUUUUGCCAAAACCAUUCAAAGUAUUAAUAAUAUUAGUAAAUUUAAAAAAUAUAUUAGAAAUUGACUCUUAUUGUUCCAUUUUAAACAUCUCAUACUCAUGAAGAAGUAAGUUAAUUUUGGACUCUUUAACUCACUUGUUCCUUCAUGAGUAAUCUCCAAUCUAUUCCAAAUCUUUUUUACGAAGGAACAAGUAGAUAUUCUAUUAAAUUUACUAAUGUUUAAAGAGCAAUAUAGAAUAUUUAUAACUUUAGCAUUCAGCUGAGCCAUCUUUUUAUCACUCUCAUUCCAAUCUUUUUUAGAUUUUGGUGAGAACACUCUAUUAACUGAAAUUAUAGAUGUAUAUGAUCCAUUAGUUUUGAUUCUCCACGUAUCAUAAUCUAAUACUUGGCCAUUAAAGAGUAAUUUGUGCCAUUAAAGAGUGAUAGUCUAAAAGUAGAUUGGCCUUCAAUAAAAAAGGAACCAAUGAAGGUUGUCAUGAUCUUUGGUUAGGUCAACAACAAAUACAGGAGCACCCGCUCUGAUACCACUUAUAGAAGGAUAGCAACCCAGAGGGGUUAAUUGGACUCUUUAAAAACUUCUAACAAAUCUAAAUUUGAAUAAUUAUGUGCUUUAAUUUAAAUAAAUUUGCUAAAGUGUAAGUAUGGUGUAUGU